Molecule: small nuclear RNA, 148 nt
Filed under: Myotis davidii
Lineage: Eukaryota; Metazoa; Chordata; Mammalia; Chiroptera; Vespertilionidae
Description: U4 spliceosomal RNA
Rfam family: U4 spliceosomal RNA
About the family: U4 small nuclear RNA (U4 snRNA) is a component of the major U2-dependent spliceosome. The structure of U4 snRNA from yeast and human has been reported.
Source: Rfam by way of RNAcentral
AGCUUUGCACAGUGGCAGUAUUGGAGCCCAUGAGGUUUAUCCAAGGCACGAUUAUUGAUAACUGAAAAAUUUUUUUACUUCCAAUGAUUAUGUGAUACCCUUGGGAUAACUAACUUAUCUCUCUGUCUUUUUAGUGCCUUACAUAAAG